UCCCUGGUGGCUCAGAGGUUAAAGCGUCUGCCUCCAAUGCAGGAGACCCCGGUUCGAUCCCUGGGUUGGGAA
Molecule: transfer RNA, 72 nt
Filed under: Bos taurus (domestic cattle)
Lineage: Eukaryota; Metazoa; Chordata; Mammalia; Artiodactyla; Bovidae
Also listed under: 5 other names
Rfam family: tRNA
About the family: Transfer RNA (tRNA) molecules are approximately 80 nucleotides in length.
Source: Rfam by way of RNAcentral